CAUAAUAUUGUUCAUUGGACUAUUUUUAACAAAACAACAUUUUAUUUUAAGUCUAUAUUUUUUAUCUUUAGUAUCUGUAAUUUGAAAAUGAAGUGUAAGGAAGAUCAACUUAUCAUCAAUACUGCCGGCAACGUAAACACAUGUACAAAUGCACAGUUUAAAAAUAAAGUUGGGAAAUGACUAAAUCCAAUACACAUAUAUUAUAUAUAUAUCGACCAAAGUGAAUUCACAUUUAAUCAACGUAUAGAUUUUUAAGAAUUACAAUGGCUAUCCCGUUUAUAGACGACGAGACAGAUCAUGAUACUUCAAUGCACUUACACGAAACAGCAUUGAUUUUUUGUACCUUGACAUUGUUUUUGGUUAUUCCUGUUAUCUUUUCUAUGUACAUGUAUUAUUGUUUAUAACACUUUUUGUAAAUUGUGUAUUUCCUGCUUAGACGUAAAAAAUAAAAACAUACUCAGAGGAAGAGACUCGGAUGUCAAGUGCAUGUGAGGCGUGAUAAAAUUAUUCAGAUGAUUAGAAAAUUAGUUUUGACGAUAAACUUUAUCAUACUUCUUGUAUAUCAAAGGAUGUAAAACGAGGGAUCAUGAAUACAACUCGAGCGUCUUAAACUUAUACAAUAUGAAAAGGACAAAUUUCCCUGAGUGAACCAGGCAUUCCACGAAUGACACAAAAAGUUUUUUACGGAAAUUCUGAGGUAAACUCAUUAACCAAAAAUAUCACAUUAACUUUCAUAGGCAGCAUUUCCAACAAUGUACCAGUAAGGUUUGCGUCAAAAAACAAUAAAAAAAGAAGUGUAUUUUCAGAAUAAAAAGUGUUCGGAGUAUUUCUUGAUAAACCGAAGUAUUCGAAAUACAACAUUCGAGUUGAUUCAUUUAAACAUUUCACGAGAUGUAUGGCACAGCUUCGGGAGGAAAUUAGUGUUGACAGAUUCCUUUUAACAGGUGAAAAGUUAUUUUUAAUGACAAUAUUUAUAUUAAAAAAAAACAUAACUUAUAAACGUGUUCUAUUAUUCUGCUUUCUUCUCUGAAAUUCUAUAGUCUGUAUCGAAUAACAUUUAAAAAGAUAUAAUUGUAUGUACUAAUAUUUGUGUAAACUGUCCUUUAUACAAUAGGUCAAAUGUAUCUAAAACCUGACUUUACAUCAAUCGAUCAUUCGAUUGUGAAAGAUACAAAUACAUGCAUGUGUACCAGAACAAUGCUUAUUAAAAAGUGUCAAAUUGUAAAAA
Molecule: long non-coding RNA, 1228 nt
Organism: Mytilus californianus (California mussel)
Lineage: Eukaryota; Metazoa; Mollusca; Bivalvia; Mytilida; Mytilidae
Exons: 2
Source: RefSeq, a predicted model, not a curated record